Non-coding RNA from Salvelinus sp. IW2-2015, 1000 nucleotides. NCBI's taxonomy places the organism in Eukaryota, Metazoa, Chordata, Actinopteri, Salmoniformes, Salmonidae. The record is from RefSeq and is a predicted model, not a curated record.
GGUGGGAUUAUAAUCAUCUAACAUGUAGAAGGAGUAGGGGGCUGGUGGUGGGAUUAUAAUCAUCUAACAUGUAGAAGGAGUAGGGGGCUGGUGGUGGGAUUAUAAUCAUCUAACAUGUAUUCCUUCAAUGUUCUCCCUGUCUCAAUAUCUGCCUCACACACACACACACAGAUGUGUGUGUCUCGCUCCAGUGUCAGUGUGACCUACUACAGAAGUCUUGCUCCCUACUCCAUGUCUGCCAGAGGCCAUAGUGAGACAGUCAGAGUCAACGGAGACUGAGGCUGUGAAGGCGGAGUCGGUCAAGGAGAAGGAAUGAGGAAGUGGGGGGGUCUUUCUCUGACUCCUCCCAAACCAGUACCAUGGAAACGGAGGAUAUUUUUUUCCAGGAUUUUGUAAAAUGCUGAUUUUUGUUUGUCCUGUGAUACUAGCAAAGAUAACCAGCAGCAACCCACGUCCACACUCCUCCUUACAGUAGUGUGUCUCUCUCUCUCUCUCCUUUCCUAAAAGACAGAAUUAAGUGACAUGUUUUUAUAAAAUGGCCGCAAGUAUUCUUCCUCUGGCAGUGGGAGUCACCAUGGUCACCACCAGCCUCAUGGGGUCACCAUGGUGAUGCCUCUCAGUUCCUUUCUAAACAACAACCCUCUUGACCGCGGUGGCUCUUUUGUGAUGACAUCGCUGUAAAUUAAGUGGACCUUCCACCUCUGACCUCAGAGACCCAAGGGUCAGACUAGGCUCCUAUGACAUCACAAGUGACCUUUGACCCUGACCUGAGGUGUUGCCAUGGUGAAUAUUUGCAGCUUUUUAAACAGAUGUAGAAGUGUUCAGAAUCGCCAGCCACUCUUGUGUUGUAAUUUGUGAGUCUGUGGUUGUCUGUCAGAGCAGACUGUUCUAGAACUCUGGCUUCCAGAACCUCUGGGUUCCACCCUGGUUGUCUGUCAGAGCAGACUGUUCUAGAACUUUGGCUUCCAGAACCUCUGGGUUCCACCCUGGUUGUCGUCGA